This 826-nucleotide ribosomal RNA is filed under the name uncultured bacterium. Its description in RNAcentral is "bacterial SSU rRNA". It matches the Rfam family "Bacterial small subunit ribosomal RNA", at positions 54 to 870 of the family's 1533-position model. The record is from RNAcentral.
CAUGCAAGUCGAGGGGAAACGACAUCGAAAGCUUGCUUUUGAUGGGCGUCGACCGGCGCACGGGUGAGUAGCGCGUAUCCAACCUGCCCAUCACUUGGGGAUAACCUUGCGAAAGUAAGACUAAUACCCAAUGACGUCUCUAGAAGACAUCUGAAAGAGAUUAAAGAUUUAUCGGUGAUGGAUGGGGAUGCGUCUGAUUAGCUUGUUGGCGGGGUAACGGCCCACCAAGGCGACGAUCAGUAGGGGUUCUGAGAGGAAGGUCCCCCACAUUGGAACUGAGACACGGUCCAAACUCCUACGGGAGGCAGCAGUGAGGAAUAUUGGUCAAUGGACGAGAGUCUGAACCAGCCAAGUAGCGUGCAGGAUGACGGCCCUAUGGGUUGUAAACUGCUUUUAUAAGGGAAUAAAGUUAGUCUCGUGAGACUUUUUGCAUGUACCUUAUGAAUAAGGACCGGCUAAUUCCGUGCCAGCAGCCGCGGUAAUACGGAAGGUCCGGGCGUUAUCCGGAUUUAUUGGGUUUAAAGGGAGCGUAGGCCGGAGAUUAAGCGUGUUGUGAAAUGUAGACGCUCAACGUCUGCACUGCAGCGCGAACUGGUUUCCUUGAGUACGCACAAAGUGGGCGGAAUUCGUGGUGUAGCGGUGAAAUGCUUAGAUAUCACGAAGAACUCCGAUUGCGAAGGCAGCUCACUGGAGCGCAACUGACGCUGAAGCUCGAAAGUGCGGGUAUCGAACAGGAUUAGAUACCCUGGUAGUCCGCACGGUAAACGAUGGAUGCCCGCUGUUGGUCUGAAUAGGUCAGCGGCCAAGCGAAAGCAUUAAGCAUCCC